AUUGCCAGUCCUCUGGUGACUGGUAAGUCAAUUUGGUUGUCCUUGCCCACCUACCAGUGUGUCAAGGGAAUCUCAGCAGCCAUUUCACCAUGUGGAGGGCAGGGUUAACAAAUCCAAGCUCUGCAUUUUUCAGUGGCUGUAGUUUUGCUUAGUCUUGGAGCAUUCUCAUCCUGCUGUAAGAAAGUUUGAUACACAGGGUUUGGGCUGCUCAAUUCUGCAGCCUGAUCCCAGUUCCCUGGCUUUCAUAGGUACACUGUGGGUGCUCAGGACAUGCUGCUCCAUAACUUUGCUGGGACACAGUCUGUCAUCCUAGAAAAGGUGUGCAGGAGCUCUCAGUGGACAUUCUGCACCCACAGAAGUUCCCUCUGACUUAGCCACCUGUGGUCCUGCUGCAGCCAACAGAGACAACUCCCACAUUCCUGAAUUCCUGUAAGCUGAGUUGCUGAGUGGAGCGUGUUGGCGGAGUCCUGCACAUCUCCAGACCGAUACAUGGUUUGAAACGUUAAAACCAGAAGAUCUGGAAGUUUUCACCGGUUGUCUGAUGUACAUAAAAUUUCUUUAGGGUUGUUUUAGAAUUGCUGGAAUUUUUUGCAAGAUUCUACAAUCUCCAUUUCAGACUCCUAACCUUGGCCUCAUGUUUUCCAAAGAUGGAUGGACUUGUGGGGGUUUUAUGGGGGGCUAAGAUACCAUUUUGAGGUUUGGAAGGAGGACAUAACUAGGAUUUUACAUGACUGAGAUAACCCAGCUAGGGGUGUCCAAAAGCUGAUAACACCCUGAAAGCAGCGCUCUACAGCUGAGUUUCUGUCUUUUGUGAAAUGCCCUGGAUUGAAUUAAAAAGGCUCCUUCUGAGCCAUUUUUUUGCACAAACAUGCAGUAGCUGCAAGAUGAAUUUUUAGUUUCAAAAUAAUUGUGAAGAUACACUCUUCUUUCAAUGGCACAUAUGCUACAGAAGUAACAAAAACACUACUGCAAGUAAGGAUUUGGCAUUUCUAAUUGGUUUUGAACCUUCUCCAGCACAAAAAUUUAAGUGUUAGGUCCCUGCCUGCCUUCUGGAAUUUGGAUACAAGGAAAUAAUUUUUGUGGAGUAAAUUUGUAUCACUUCCCAGAGACUGCCUGAUACAUAAGAUGCAUUUUGGUCUUUUCAGAGCAUUCAGAAAAAUAACUUUGUUACUGCUUGUGUAUACAUGAGAAAUUUCUGGCUCUGUCACCAAUAGGAGUAUUCAGGAGAGCCUAAGUUUUCAGUUAGAGGGUAAAUUUAAAACAGAUAGCAAUUUUAAGCUAAACUGUGCUGUAAACCUUGAUAUCAGUGUUCUGUUUUUAGCUUUAUAAAUUUUCCUCGAAAUGCAGAAAUCCAGGGACUCACAUUUUAAGUGAAAUGCUACAAUGGAUGUUUCUCCUGGGGUAACUUUCUCUUUCUGGCCAACUUUGUCCUUGGUGCUGCUUUUUGAACAAAUGGCUAUAAAUCAGAAGUAAUGCUCCUGAAACCUAUGAAAUACAGCAGGACAUAAAUAUCAAAGCUUUGCCAUUGUGAAAAACAC
Zonotrichia albicollis (white-throated sparrow) is the source of this 1538-nucleotide non-coding RNA. NCBI's taxonomy places the organism in Eukaryota, Metazoa, Chordata, Aves, Passeriformes, Passerellidae. The record is from RefSeq and is a predicted model, not a curated record.